CGGCGGACAUUUGCUACGAUCGCUGUACAUAUGGCUAUGGUCGGAGUACGAAAUCAAUUCCAGUCAUUGUCAGCUUCUUGAUGAACAAAGCAUUGCAAAACUCCCUUUCUCUGCCUGUCCCUGGAAGAGCUGGCGCAGGACGACCUUUAUGAGGCCGAUCGGACCCGAGAUGGAUCUGUCGGCUUAUUGGACAGUGAAAGGCCGGUCUCCAGCAUGCAAAUGGGCGAGUCCCAGCCGGGUGGACAUGUGACACACGUCCCGGGUACUCCCCCCCGACGCACGGACACAGCACAUGUCACCUGCUCUUUCAAGAUGAAUGUUCCGCCUGACGGCGGUGGCCGAUCUCCCUGUAAUGGUAUGAAAGCUUCCCGUUGCUGUUUAGAGAUCAAUCUGUGGUCCAGUUCUUCUGCCAGAGAUG
Molecule: long non-coding RNA, 418 nt
Organism: Brienomyrus brachyistius
Lineage: Eukaryota; Metazoa; Chordata; Actinopteri; Osteoglossiformes; Mormyridae
Exons: 3
Source: RefSeq, a predicted model, not a curated record